UCUCUUUUUCUCUUUCUUCUUUCUGCCUGGCUAUGCACUACGUCAGCUAGUUAUAUUGUCAAUCACUGCAGCAGCAACGAUGCCACGCAUUUAGGAAAGAAAAGACAAUACCUUUUGUUGAAGGCAGCCUGGAAGGGUACUUCAAAUAUUUUCUUGUAAUAUUUAUCUUGUGCAUGCUUUUGCAAACACAUUAAACAGCCCAUCUAAUGGUGACAACAUUGACACAUUCAUAGUUCUGGACCUAAAAUGAUUAAAAAGGAGGAGCCAGAUGAGGUGCUUCGGGCAUCUGUUCAGGUUGCCAACCGAACGCCUCCCUACAGAGGUGUUUCGGGCACGUCCGACUGGUAGGAGGACACUUUGGGAAGACUAUAUUUCCCGGCUGGCCUGGGAACGCCUCGGGAUCCUUCCGGAAGAGCUGGGCGAAGUGGCUGGGGAGAGGGAAGUCUGGGCAUCCCUGCUUAGGCUGCUUCCCCCGCGACCCGACCUCAGAUGAGCGGAAAAAGAUGGAUGGAUCGAUGGAAAAUAUACACCUGCAUUAGGUCAUAAGCUUAGGGGCUCAUCUCCCUCUGAGAGCAAGACCUAAGGACAUCCAGCUCACCUUGUGGGCUACAAGAUGGCGUCGCCUUGUAGCCACUGCAAAACCCCGGGAAAAAUGGAUUCCAAAACUGUAUGCAAACUCAUCAACUAAAUGCUUGAAGUUUUAUGAUUUGAUACUUUGACUUUGUUCAACAUGAGUAUCCAACUUUGCUACAAAAUGCUCAAGUCAGAAAAAACUAGGCAGGAACUUGGAUGAAAUCACAAUUGGUCCAAAUGAUAGUGUUGUGGAAAACUGAAGAAGAAGGACCCUUACCAGAGAGGACGAAAACUAUUCAUAUCCUGAUAAUGAAGAGGAGGCCUUUCCAACCACUGAGGAGGAAGCAAUCAGGAGACUGACACAAUUUUCAAAAGAAGAGGGGGUAUCAUCAGGAGAUCGUGCAGUGAGACAUUCCUCCAAAGGUAAAGCUGCCCAGAAAAGAAGACCCUGUACACAGAAAGAGGUGAAGGCUGUCAAGAACUGCACUGGCUUCCUGUGCACUUAAGAUGUGACUUUAAGGUUUUACUACUUACGUAUAAAAUACUACACGGUCUAGCUCCAUCCUAUCUUGGCGAUAGUAUUGUACUAUAUGUCCCGGCAAGAAAUCUGCGUUCAAAGGACUCCGGCUUAUUAGUGAUCCCCAAAGCCCCAAAAAAGUCUGCGGGCUGUAGAGCUUUUUCAUUUCGGGCUCCAGUACUCUGGAAUGCCCUCCCGGUAACAGUUCGAGAUGCUACCUCAGUAGAAACAUUUAAGUCUCACCUUAAAACUCAUUUGUAUACUCUAGCCUUUAAAUAGACUCCCUUUUUAGACCAGUUGAUCUGCCGUUUCUUUUUUCUUUUUCUUCUAUGUCCCACUCUCCUUUGUGGAGAGUCCGGUCCGAUCCGGUGGCCAUGUACUGCUCGCCUGUGUAUCGGCUGGGGACAUCUCUGCGCUGCUGAUCAGCCUCUGCUUGGGAUGGUUUCCUGCUGGCUCCGCUGUGGACGGGACUCUCGCUGCUGUGUUGGAUCCGCUUUGGACUGGACUCUCGCGACUGUGUUGGAUCCAUUAUGGAUUGAUCUUUCACAGUAUCAUGUUCUCAUAUGUUCUCACAGUCAUCAGUAUCAUCAGUAUCACAGUAUCAUGUUCUCAUAGUCAUCAUUGUCACCGACGUCCCACUGGGUCAUUAUUGUCACCGAUGUCCCACUGGGUGUGAGUUUUCCUUGCCCUUAUGUGGGCCUACCGAGGAUGUCGUAGUGGUUUGUGCAGCCCUUUGAGACACUAGUGAUUUAGGGCUAUAUAAGUAAACAUUGAUUGAUUGAUUGAAGAAGCACAUGAAGCGAUCCAUCCCUUCUGGUAUUGUAACUAUGACUGUUUAAAAUGUUUGAGGGCCAAACCGGAAGUUGUCCAAAACCAGGAAUGGCAAGCAUUGAAGUUCUAUGUGUACAACUGCGUCACGGCCUACAAAAGGAGAUUGCAGGUAAAAUAAGAGAUAAUCAGCAAGACAAGUACAAACCCCGUUUCCAUAUCAGUUGGGAAAUUGUGUUAGAUGUAAAUAUAAACGGAAUACGAUGAUUUGCAAAUCAUUUUCAACCCAUAUUCAGUUGAAUAUGCUACAAAGACAACAUAUUUGAUGUUAAAACUGAUAAACAUUUUUUUUUUUUUGCAAAUAAUCAUUAACUUUAGAAUUUGAUGCCAGCAACACGUGACAAAGAAGUUGGGAAAGGUGGCAAUAAAUACUGAUAAAGUUGAGGAAUGCUCAUCAAACACUUAUUUGGAACAUCCCACAGAUGUGCAGGCUAAUUGGGAAGAGGUGGGUGCCAUGAUUGGGUAUAAAAGCAGCUUCAAUGAAAUGCUAAGUAAUUCAGAAACAACGAUGGACCAAGGGUCACCAAUUUGUAAGCAAAUUGUCGAACAGUUUUAGAACAACAUUUCUCAACGAGCUAUUACAAGGAAUUUAGGGAUUUUACCAUCAACGGUACGUGAAAUCAUCAAAAGGUUCAGAGAAUCUGGAGAAAUCACUGCACGUAAGCGAUGAUAUUACUUACGGACCUUUGACCCCUCAUGCGGUACUGCAUAAAAACCGACAUCAGUGUGUAAGGAUAUCCCCACAUGGGCUCAGGAACACUUCAGAAAACCACUGUCAGUAACUACAGUUGGUCGCUACAUCUGUAAGUGCAGGUUAAAACUCCACUAUGCAAGGCGAAAGCCAUUUAUCAACAACACCCAGGAAUGCCGCCGGCUGCGCUGGGCCCGAGUUCAUCUACGAUGGACUGAUGCAAAUUGGAAAAGUGUUCUGUGGUUUGACGAGUCCAUAUUUCAAAUUGUAUUUGGAAACUGUGGACGUGGUGUCCUCCGGAACAAAGAGGAAAAUAACCAUCUGGAUUGUUAAAGGUGCAAAGUUCAAAAGCCAGCAUCCGUCAUGGUAUGGGGGUGUAUUAGUGCCCAAGGCAUGGGUAACUUACACAUCUGUGAAGGCACCAUUAAUGCUGAAUGGGCCAUACAGGUUUUGGAGCAACAAAUGUUGUCAUCCAAGCAACGUUAUCCUGGACGCCCCUGCUUAUUUCAGCAAAAAAAUGCCAAGCCACGUGUUACAACCGCGUGGCUUCGUAGUAAAAGAGUGCAAAUACUUACCUGGCACGCCUGCAGUCCAGACCUGUCUCCCAUCAAAAAUGGGUGGAGCAUUAUGAAGCGUAAAAUACGACAACAAGACCCCGGACUGUUGAACAACUUAAGCUGUACAUCACAAAGAAUGUUAAAGAAUUACACUUUCAAAGUUUCAACUAUUAGUUUCCCCUACAUUUAUUGAGUGGUGUUAAAAGAAAAGGUGAUUUAACACUGUGGUGAACAUGCCCUUUCCCUACUACUUUGGCACGUGUUGCAGACAUGAAAUUCUAAGUUAAUUAU
Long non-coding RNA from Nerophis ophidion (straightnose pipefish), 3457 nucleotides. RefSeq lists it as uncharacterized. NCBI's taxonomy places the organism in Eukaryota, Metazoa, Chordata, Actinopteri, Syngnathiformes, Syngnathidae. The record is from RefSeq and is a predicted model, not a curated record. The transcript has 5 exons.